RNAcentral lists this transfer RNA (76 nucleotides) under Candidatus Woesebacteria bacterium RIFCSPHIGHO2_01_FULL_41_10. RNAcentral describes it as "tRNA-Glu". It matches the Rfam family "tRNA". Rfam says of the family: Transfer RNA (tRNA) molecules are approximately 80 nucleotides in length. Their secondary structure includes four short double-helical elements and three loops (D, anti-codon, and T loops). The record is from RNAcentral. Lineage: Bacteria; Candidatus Woeseibacteriota.
GGCCCCAUCGUCUAGAGGCCUAGGACGGCAGGUUCUCAUCCUGCAAACCUGGAUUCGAAUUCCAGUGGGGUCACCA